UACGUAGGGACCGAGCGUUGUCCGGAAUCAUUGGGCGUAAAGAGCGUGUAGGCGGUUUGGUAGGUCCGCUGUGAAAACUCGAGGCUCAACCUCGAGACGCCGGUGGAAACCAUCAGACUAGAGUCCGGAAGAGGAGAGUGGAAUUCCUGGUGUAGCGGUGAAAUGCGCAGAUAUCAGGAAGAACACCCGUGGCUAAGGCGGCUCUCUAGUACGGUACUGACGCUGAGACGCGAAAGCGUGGGGAGCGAACAGG
RNAcentral lists this ribosomal RNA (253 nucleotides) under uncultured bacterium. RNAcentral's name for it is "partial 16S ribosomal RNA". It matches the Rfam family "Bacterial small subunit ribosomal RNA", at positions 524 to 776 of the family's 1533-position model. The record is from RNAcentral.